GGGUCAUAUCUGAACUUGAUUUCCUCAGUUUAGCGACUUAGCGGUCGAUUUUAAAUUGAAUUUCUCAAUUUAGCGACAUGGUGGUCGAUUGAAGUCGAGGUGCUCAGUUUAGCGACAUGGCGGUCGAUUGUUCAGUUUAACGACUUGAUGGUCAUUUGUUCAGUUUAACGACUUGAUGGUCGUUUUUGAACUUGAUUUGCUCAGUUUAACGAUUUGGCGGUCGAAAGGGUUUGGUUUGAUUGCUCAGUUUAACGUCUUGGCGGUGAUCUUGAGAUGCUCAUGAAACUGAUUCAUGAAAUUAAUUCAUGCUAGGAGCCCGUUUGUGAAGUCCAUUAAAUUAAUUGAUGAAAUUAAUUCAUGAUAGGGGACCAAUUGGAGAGCCCAUUGAAUUGGGUUUUAUAAAAUUAGUUUAUGAUAAGGA
Molecule: long non-coding RNA, 421 nt
Filed under: Ananas comosus (pineapple)
Lineage: Eukaryota; Viridiplantae; Streptophyta; Magnoliopsida; Poales; Bromeliaceae
Description: long non-coding RNA (ACOM_LNC037238)
Source: RNAcentral